AUCCUCUGCAGCAAUGCGAUUUGACUCUUGUCUUUGUUGACCGAGUUUAAAGGGAGCUAGAGGAUGAUCAGUUUAGACUAGCCCGAGUGCUAAGCAUUCUUGGGUCUAGGCUGGAUUGCUCAUUUCAUCUAUUUUCUA
Molecule: unclassified non-coding RNA, 138 nt
Filed under: uncultured Rozellomycota
Lineage: Eukaryota; Fungi; Rozellomycota
Description: uncultured Cryptomycota sequence contains ITS2
Source: RNAcentral